This 74-nucleotide transfer RNA is filed under the name Hydra vulgaris (swiftwater hydra). RNAcentral describes it as "transfer RNA arginine (anticodon UCU)". It matches the Rfam family "tRNA". Rfam says of the family: Transfer RNA (tRNA) molecules are approximately 80 nucleotides in length. Their secondary structure includes four short double-helical elements and three loops (D, anti-codon, and T loops). The record is from Rfam by way of RNAcentral. Lineage: Eukaryota; Metazoa; Cnidaria; Hydrozoa; Anthoathecata; Hydridae.
GCCGCUGUGGCGCAAUGGACUAGCGCGUUGGACUUCUAAUCCAAAGGUUGUGGGUUCGACUCCCACCAGCGGUA